Molecule: transfer RNA, 65 nt
Filed under: Candidatus Pacearchaeota archaeon CG_4_9_14_0_2_um_filter_39_13
Lineage: Archaea; Nanobdellati
Description: tRNA-Asn
Rfam family: tRNA
About the family: Transfer RNA (tRNA) molecules are approximately 80 nucleotides in length.
Source: RNAcentral
UAGCUCAGCUGGUUAGAGCGCACGGCUGUUAACCGUGAGGUCGGAGGUUCAAGUCCUCUCCGGGA